RNAcentral lists this transfer-messenger RNA (348 nucleotides) under bovine gut metagenome. It matches the Rfam family "transfer-messenger RNA". From Rfam's summary of the family: Bacterial tmRNA, also known as 10Sa RNA or SsrA, is named for its dual tRNA and mRNA-like properties. Its role is to liberate the mRNA from a stalled ribosome. To accomplish this part of the tmRNA is used as a reading frame that ends in a translation stop signal. The record is from RNAcentral.
GUAAAGGUUUCGACAGGGGUUCUGAAACUGGAGAAGCUAUCCGAAGCCGAUCGUCAAACGGCAAACCUAAAUAUAAACGCUAAUCGUAACGAUUUAGCCCUGGCUGCCUGAUCGCAGUCAGCGUCGCCUGAGUUGUACCUGUGCAAUUCGGAUACGGCGUCGAGAUCACAGGAAACGACACGGAACCUGCUCCGGUUCCGCGGGCGUAUCAGGAGCUACUGACAUGAGUGGAGUGUUUGCUCUCCGUUCAUACGAGGGAAACGCCGCAGGGCAGAAGUAACAAACUACGAUAGUAGAAGGACAGGGGAGGGGCUUUUGGACACGGGUUCGAUUCCCGUCUAAUCCACU